GCGGUAGUAGCUUCAAUUGGAUAGAGCGAUGCGCUUCGGACGCAUAGGUUGCGGGUUCGAGUCCUGCCUGCCGCACCA
RNAcentral lists this transfer RNA (78 nucleotides) under Alphaproteobacteria bacterium. Its description in RNAcentral is "tRNA-Arg". It matches the Rfam family "tRNA". Rfam says of the family: Transfer RNA (tRNA) molecules are approximately 80 nucleotides in length. Their secondary structure includes four short double-helical elements and three loops (D, anti-codon, and T loops). Lineage: Bacteria; Pseudomonadati; Pseudomonadota; Alphaproteobacteria. RNAcentral also lists the same sequence under 2 other names. The record is from RNAcentral.